AACGAACGCUGGCGGCAUGCCUAACACAUGCAAGUCGAACGAUACCUUCGGGUCUAGUGGCGCACGGGUGCGUAACGCGUGGGAACCUGCCCUUAGGUUCGGAAUAACUCCCCGAAAGGGGUGCUAAUACCGGAUAAUGUCUUCGGACCAAAGAUUUAUCGCCUUUGGAUGGGCCCGCGUUGGAUUAGCUAGUUGGUAGGGUAAAAGCCUACCAAGGCGACGAUCCAUAGCUGGUCUGAGAGGAUGAUCAGCCACACUGGGACUGAGACACGGCCCAGACUCGUACGAGAGGCAGCAGUGGGGAAUAUAGGACAAGGGGCGAAAGCCUGAGCCAGCAAUGCCGGGUGAGUGAUGAAGGCCUUAGGGUUGUAAAGCUCUUUUACACGGGAUGAUAAUGACAGUACCGGGAGAAUAAGCUCCGGCUAACUCCGUG
This 433-nucleotide ribosomal RNA is filed under the name uncultured bacterium. RNAcentral describes it as "partial 16S ribosomal RNA". It matches the Rfam family "Bacterial small subunit ribosomal RNA", at positions 29 to 507 of the family's 1533-position model. The record is from RNAcentral.